GUGGGGAAUCUUGCGCAAUGGGCGAAAGCCUGACGCAGCCAUGCCGCGUGAAUGAUGAAGGUCUUAGGAUUGUAAAAUUCUUUCACCGGGGACGAUAAUGACGGUACCCGGAGAAGAAGCUCCGGCUAACUUCGUGCCAGCAGCCGCGGUAAUACGAAGGGUGCUAGCGUUGCUCGGAAUUACUGGGCGUAAAGGGCGCGUAGGCGGACAGCUUAGUCAGAGGUGAAAGCCCAGGGCUCAACCUUGGAAUUGCCUUUGAUACUGGCUGUCUUGAGUUUGGGAGAGGUGAGUGGAACUCCGAGUGUAGAGGUGAAAUUCGUAGAUAUUCGGAAGAACACCAGUGGCGAAGGCGACUCACUGGCCCAAUACUGACGCUGAGGCGCGAAAGCGUGGGGAGCAAACAGGAUUAGAAACCCGGGUAGUCC
Molecule: ribosomal RNA, 425 nt
Filed under: uncultured bacterium
Lineage: Bacteria
Description: partial 16S ribosomal RNA
Rfam family: Bacterial small subunit ribosomal RNA
Source: RNAcentral